AGCCAGACUCCUACGGGAGGCAGCAGUGAGGAAUAUUGGUCAAUGGUCGGGAGACUGAACCAGCCAAGCCGCGUGAGGGAGGAAGGUACAGAGUAUCGUAAACCUCUUUUGUCAGGGGACAAAGACUGGGACGCGUCCCCGGAUGAGUGUACCUGAAGAAAAAGCAUCGGCUAACUCCGUGCCAGCAGCCGCGGUAAUACGGAGGAUGCGAGCGUUAUCCGGAUUUAUUGGGUUUAAAGGGUGCGUAGGCGGUAUAUCAAGUCAGAUGUAAAAGCCGGGGGCUCAACCCGGGCGAGCCGUUGAAACUGGCUGUCUUGAGAUGUCGGGAGGUAUGCGGAAUGCGCAGUGUAGCGGUGAAAUGCUUAGAUAUU
This 371-nucleotide ribosomal RNA is filed under the name uncultured bacterium. Its description in RNAcentral is "bacterial SSU rRNA". It matches the Rfam family "Bacterial small subunit ribosomal RNA", at positions 329 to 698 of the family's 1533-position model. The record is from RNAcentral.